This 394-nucleotide ribosomal RNA is filed under the name uncultured bacterium. RNAcentral describes it as "partial 16S ribosomal RNA". It matches the Rfam family "Bacterial small subunit ribosomal RNA", at positions 338 to 729 of the family's 1533-position model. The record is from RNAcentral.
CCUACGGGGGGCUGCAGUGAGGAAUAUUGGUCAAUGGACGGAAGUCUGAACCAGCCAUGCCGCGUGCAGGAAGACGGCUCUAUGAGUUGUAAACUGCUUUUGUACAAGGGUAAACCUGAAUACGUGUAUUCAGCUGAAAGUACUGUACGAAUAAGGAUCGGCUAACUCCGUGCCAGCAGCCGCGGUAAUACGGAGGAUCCAAGCGUUAUCCGGAUUUAUUGGGUUUAAAGGGUGCGUAGGCGGAUUGGUAAGUUAGAGGUGAAAUGUCCGAGCUUAACUCGGGAACGGCCUCUAAUACUGUUGGACUAGAGAGUAGGUGCGGGAGGCGGAAUGUAUGGUGUAGCAGUGAAAUGCGUAGAGAUCUUGCAGAACACCGAUUGCGAAGGCAGCUUCC